GGAUGCCUUGGCACUAGAAGCCGAUGAAGGACGUUACUAACGACGAUAUGCUUUGGGGAGCUGUAAGUAAGCUUUGAUCCAGAGAUUUCCGAAUGGGGAAACCCAGCAUGAGUUAUGUCAUGUUAUCGAUAUGUGAAUACAUAGCAUAUCAGAAGGCACACCCGGAGAACUGAAACAUCUUAGUACCCGGAGGAAGAGAAAGAAAAUUCGAUUCCCUUAGUAGCGGCGAGCGAAACGGGAAGAGCCCAAACCAACAAGCUUGCUUGUUGGGGUUGUAGGACACUCUAUACGGAGUUACAAAGGACGACAUUAGACGAAUCAUCUGGAAAGAUGAAUCAAAGAAGGUAAUAAUCCUGUAGUCGAAAAUGUUGUCUCUCUUGAGUGGAUCCUGAGUACGACGGAGCACGUGAAAUUCCGUCGGAAUCUGGGAGGACCAUCUCCUAAGGCUAAAUACUCUCUAGUGACCGAUAGUGAACCAGUACCGUGAGGGAAAGGUGAAAAGCACCCCGGAAGGGGAGUGAAAUAGAACCUGAAACCGUGUGCUUACAAGUAGUCAGAGCCCGUUAAUGGGUGAUGGCGUGCCUUUUGUAGAAUGAACCGGCGAGUUACGAUUUGAUGCAAGGUUAAGCAGUAAAUGUGGAGCCGUAGCGAAAGCGAGUCUGAAUAGGGCGUUUAGUAUUUGGUCGUAGACCCGAAACCAGGUGAUCUACCCUUGGUCAGGUUGAAGUUCAGGUAACACUGAAUGGAGGACCGAACCGACUUACGUUGAAAAGUGAGCGGAUGAACUGAGGGUAGCGGAGAAAUUCCAAUCGAACCUGGAGAUAGCUGGUUCUCUCCGAAAUAGCUUUAGGGCUAGCCUCAAGUGAUGAUUAUUGGAGGUAGAGCACUGUUUGGACGAGGGGCCCCUCUCGGGUUACCGAAUUCAGACAAACUCCGAAUGCCAAUUAAUUUAACUUGGGAGUCAGAACAUGGGUGAUAAGGUCCGUGUUCGAAAGGGAAACAGCCCAGACCACCAGCUAAGGUCCCAAAAUAUAUGUUAAGUGGAAAAGGAUGUGGCGUUGCCCAGACAACUAGGAUGUUGGCUUAGAAGCAGCCAUCAUUUAAAGAGUGCGUAAUAGCUCACUAGUCGAGUGACACUGCGCCGAAAAUGUACCGGGGCUAAACAUAUUACCGAAGCUGUGGAUUGUCCUUUGGACAAUGGUAGGAGAGCGUUCUAAGGGCGUUGAAGCAUGAUCGUAAGGACAUGUGGAGCGCUUAGAAGUGAGAAUGCCGGUGUGAGUAGCGAAAGACGGGUGAGAAUCCCGUCCACCGAUUGACUAAGGUUUCCAGAGGAAGGCUCGUCCGCUCUGGGUUAGUCGGGUCCUAAGCUGAGGCCGACAGGCGUAGGCGAUGGAUAACAGGUUGAUAUUCCUGUACCACCUAUAAUCGUUUUAAUCGAUGGGGGGACGCAGUAGGAUAGGCGAAGCGUGCG
This 1471-nucleotide ribosomal RNA is filed under the name Staphylococcus aureus. RNAcentral's name for it is "partial 23S ribosomal RNA". It matches the Rfam family "Bacterial large subunit ribosomal RNA", at positions 26 to 1497 of the family's 2925-position model. Lineage: Bacteria; Bacillati; Bacillota; Bacilli; Caryophanales; Staphylococcaceae. The record is from RNAcentral.